RNAcentral lists this ribosomal RNA (429 nucleotides) under Bacteroidota bacterium. RNAcentral describes it as "Bacteroidetes bacterium partial 16S ribosomal RNA". It matches the Rfam family "Bacterial small subunit ribosomal RNA", at positions 355 to 776 of the family's 1533-position model. The record is from RNAcentral. Lineage: Bacteria; Pseudomonadati; Bacteroidota.
UAGGGAAUCUUCCGCAAUGGACGCAAGUCUGACGGAGCAACGCCGCGUGAGUGAAGAAGGAUUUCGGUUCGUAAAACUCUGUUGUUAGAGAAGAACAGCGCAUAGAGUAACUGUUAUGCGUGUGACGGUAUCUAACCAGAAAGCCACGGCUAACUACGUGCCAGCAGCCGCGGUAAUACGUAGGUGGCAAGCGUUGACCGGAUUUAUUGGGCGUAAAGCGAGCGCAGGCGGUCAAUUAAGUCUGAUGUGAAAGCCCCCGGCUCAACCGGGGAGGGUCAUUGGAAACUGGUUGACUUGAGUGCAGAAGAGGAGAGUGGAAUUCCAUGUGUAGCGGUGAAAUGCGUAGAUAUAUGGAGGAACACCAGUGGCGAAGGCGACUCUCUGGUCUGUAACUGACGCUGAGGUUCGAAAGCGUGGGUAGCAAACAGG